CUCCCUCAUUGUAAAAGCAAUACAAUGGGUGGUGCUACUCAUUUGUGCUUGUGUUUCCUCGUUUCUCUGCUGGUCAUAGCCAGCGCUGCCACUCCAAGAAAGCCAAUUAACGUUCCUUUCCAGAAGAACUAUGCACCCACUUGGGCUUUCGACCACAUCAAGUACUUGAAUGGUGGCAAUGAGGUUCAACUCUCCCUCGACAAGUACACAGGAACUGGCUUCCAUUCGAAGGGCUCUUACCUGUUUGGGCACUUCAGCAUGGAUAUAAAGAUGGUUGCAGGAGAUUCUGCUGGAACUGUCACUGCCUUCUAUCUCUCAUCCCAGAACUCUGAGCACGAUGAGAUCGACUUUGAGUUCCUUGGCAACAGGACGGGCCAGCCAUACAUAUUGCAGACCAAUGUGUUCACCGGCGGGAAGGGAAACAGAGAACAGAGGAUCUACCUCUGGUUCGAUCCCACCAAAGAUUUCCAUUCCUACUCUGUCCUCUGGAACAUGUACCUGAUUGUAUUCUUUGUAGACGAUGUGCCCAUCAGGAUCUUCAAGAACAGCAAGGACCUGGGAGUGAGGUUCCCAUUCAACCAGCCCAUGAAGAUCUACUCCAGCCUCUGGAAUGCCGACGACUGGGCCACCCGUGGUGGUCUCGAGAAGACAGACUGGUCCAAGGCUCCUUUUGUGGCUUCAUACCGAGUGUUCCAUGUUGACGGAUGCGAGGCAUCGGAGGAGGCCAAGUUCUGCGCCACUCAGGGGAUGCGGUGGUGGGACCAAAAGGAGUUCCAGGAUCUUGACGGGAUCCAGUACCGGAAGCUUAGCUGGGUUCGCCAAAAAUAUACCAUCUACAACUAUUGCACCGACCGAGCUAGGAUACCCGUCAUGCCAGCGGAGUGCAAGAGGGACAGAGAUGUUUGAGAUAUGCCUCGACCUACCUUUAUGUGAAUGGAGCUACGAGUGAGUAUUUGUCGCAAUAUUGCUCUGUAAUUGCCGUUACUUGUUAUUUGCUUGCUGGCUCAUUAAUCUGAGAUGGUAACGUACUAUAUUUGUAUCUCUAA
Molecule: unclassified non-coding RNA, 1046 nt
Filed under: Hevea brasiliensis (rubber tree)
Lineage: Eukaryota; Viridiplantae; Streptophyta; Magnoliopsida; Malpighiales; Euphorbiaceae
Source: RNAcentral